GUCCACGCCGUAAACGAUGAGUGCUAGGUGUCUCGGGUAUUGACCCCUGAGGUGCCGUAGCUAACGCGUUAAGCACUCCGCCUGGGAACUACGGCCGCAAGGCUAAAACUCAAAGGAAUUGACGGGGGCCCGCACAAGCGGUGGAGCAUGUGGUUUAAUUCGACGCAACGCGCAGAACCUUACCCGGGCUAGAAAAACAAGGAACGCUCUAGAAAUAGAGAAGUGCCCCUAACAGGGAACCUUGGUCCAGGUGCUGCAUGGCUGUCGU
RNAcentral lists this ribosomal RNA (268 nucleotides) under uncultured bacterium. RNAcentral's name for it is "partial 16S ribosomal RNA". It matches the Rfam family "Bacterial small subunit ribosomal RNA", at positions 793 to 1055 of the family's 1533-position model. The record is from RNAcentral.